UACGUAGGGAGCAGCGUUGCCGGAUUUAUUGGGCGUAAAGGGCGCGCAGGCGGCCACGCGCGUCCGUUGUGAAAUCGCUCGGCUCAACUGGGCGAGGUCAGCGGAUACGGCGUGGCUGGAGCAAGCGUAGGGGGCAAUGGAAUUCCCGGUGGUAGUGGUGGAAUGCGUAGAUAGUCGGGAGGAACACCAGUGGCGAAGGCGGUUGCCUGGAGCUUUGCUGACGCUGAGGCGCGAAAGCGUGGGAGCGAACAGG
RNAcentral lists this ribosomal RNA (253 nucleotides) under uncultured bacterium. RNAcentral's name for it is "partial 16S ribosomal RNA". It matches the Rfam family "Bacterial small subunit ribosomal RNA", at positions 524 to 776 of the family's 1533-position model. The record is from RNAcentral.